UACCACAGGCAACCCUGAUCCACCAUUCCGCGUGAGUGAAGAAGGCCUUCGGGUUGUAAAGCUCUUUUGUCGGGGACGAAACGGUUACGACGAAUACUCGUGACAACUGACGGUACCCGAAGAAUAAGCACCGGCUAACUACGUGCCAGCAGCCGCGGUAAUACGUAGGGUGCGAGCGUUAAUCGGAAUUACUGGGCGUAAAGCGUGCGCAGGCGGUUUUGUAAGCCAGAUGUGAAAUCCCCGGGCUUAACCUGGGAAUGGCAUUUGGGACUGCAAGGCUAGAGUAUGGCAGAGGAGACUAGAAUUUCUGGUGUAGCAGUGAAAUGCGUAGAUAUCAGAAGGAAUACCGAUGGCGAAGGCAGGUCUCUGGGUCAAUACUGACGCUCAUGCACGAAAGCGUGGGGAGCAAACAGGAUUAGAUACCCUGGUAGUCCACGCCCUAAACGAUGUCAACUGGUUGUUGGGAGAUUUAUUCUCUUAGUAACGAAGCUAACGCGUGAAGUUGACCGCCUGGGGAGUACGGUCGCAAGAUUAAAACUCAAAUGAAUUGACGG
Molecule: ribosomal RNA, 554 nt
Filed under: uncultured bacterium
Lineage: Bacteria
Description: bacterial SSU rRNA
Rfam family: Bacterial small subunit ribosomal RNA
Source: RNAcentral